GACGAACGCUGGCGGCGUGCUUAACACAUGCAAGUCGAGCGAUGAAGUUCUUUCGGGAAUGGAUUAGCGGCGGACGGGUGAGUAACACGUGGGUAACCUGCCUCAUAGAGGGGAAUAGCCUUCCGAAAGGAAGAUUAAUACCGCAUAAGAUUGUAGUUUCGCAUGAAACAGCAAUUAAAGGAGCAAUCCGCUAUGAGAUGGACCCGCGUCGCAUUAGCUAGUUGGUGAGGUAACGGCUAACCAAGGCGACGAUGCGUAGCCGACCUGAGAGGGUGAUCGGCCACAUUGGGACUGAGACACGGCCCAGACUCCUACGGGAGGCAGCAGUGGGGAAUAUUGCACAAUGGGGGAAGCCCUGAUGCAGCAACGCCGCGUGAGUGAUGACGGUCUUCGGAUUGUAAAACUCUGUCUUCAGGGACGAUAAUGACGGUACCUGAGGAGGAAGCCACGGCUAACUACGUGCCAGCCGCCGCAGUAA
RNAcentral lists this ribosomal RNA (478 nucleotides) under uncultured bacterium. Its description in RNAcentral is "partial 16S ribosomal RNA". It matches the Rfam family "Bacterial small subunit ribosomal RNA", at positions 28 to 523 of the family's 1533-position model. The record is from RNAcentral.